GAUGAACGCUGGCGGUGUGCCUAAUACAUGCAAGUCGAGCGAACAGACGAGGAGUUUUCUCCUCUGACGUUAGCGGCGGACGGGUGAGUAACACGUGGAUAACCUACCUAUAAGACUGGGAUAACUUCGGGAAACCGGAGCUAAUAACGGAUAACAUGUAGAACCGCAUGGUUCAACAGUGAAAGACGGUCUUGGUGUCACAUAUAGAUGGAUCCGCGUCGCAUUAGCUAGUUGGUAAGGUAACGGCUUACCAAGGCAACGAUGCGUAGCCGACCUGAGAGGGUGAUCGGCCACACUGGAACUGAGACACGGUCCAGACUCCUACGGGAGGCAGCAGUAGGGAAUCUUCCGCAAUGGGCGAAAGCCUGACGGAGCAACGCCGCGUGAGUGAAGAAGGUCUUCGGAUCGUAAAGCUCUGUUAUUAGGGAAGAACAGAUGUGUAAGUAACUGUGCACGUCUUGACGGUACCUAAUCAGAAAGCCACGGCUAACUACGUG
RNAcentral lists this ribosomal RNA (497 nucleotides) under uncultured bacterium. RNAcentral's name for it is "partial 16S ribosomal RNA". It matches the Rfam family "Bacterial small subunit ribosomal RNA", at positions 28 to 507 of the family's 1533-position model. The record is from RNAcentral.